Non-coding RNA from Pungitius pungitius (ninespine stickleback), 736 nucleotides. NCBI's taxonomy places the organism in Eukaryota, Metazoa, Chordata, Actinopteri, Perciformes, Gasterosteidae. The record is from the annotation of a RefSeq genome assembly.
AUGAGGCACUGCAGGACAGGACUGCUGCUUCUAACUAUCUGCUGGGCAGGCGUUUCCAGUCAGACUCUGAGUGAGUCUGAACCAGCGCUGAAGCUCCCAGGAGAAUCCCAUAAACUGACCUGUACCUAUGCAGGAAUAUCAGAUGAUGAUGCUCCUAUCAGCUGGAUCAGACAAGCUGAAGGAAAAGGACUGGAGUGGAUCGCCCACAUUUCUGCUCCGAGUGGACAAAAUAAAUAUUAUUCCACGUCUGUCCUGAAUCGUUUCACCAUUUCCAGAGACAACGCCGUGGACCAGGUGUCUCUGCAGAUGAACAAUCUGACGACUGAAGACUCUGCUGUUUAUUAUUGUGCUCGGAGGCCACAGUGAUGCAGGAAGCCACACAACUGUACAAAAACUUCACCCAUCUCACUGUGUCAGUCGCUGAUACUAAGGAUUUAUAAAAUACCCCCUAGUGUUGAUUGUUGGAACCAGGGGGAGACACUGGAAGGAUGGACUAGAUAACCUAGAAGUUCAUUCAAAGUUAAUUUUAAUCAUAUUCAGCAACCGUACUAUCUCACUGAAAAGUAAUUAAGGUAACAAAUAUGUUUUCACUCCUUACGUUUUUGUCCUUUCUGCAGGUUGUGUGCAAGUAGAGUGUCAGGAACGGGGAAGGCAGAGGCAGGCGGGAGGACCCAAACACUGACUUGCAAACAAAAAGGUACUUUUAAUAAUCAAACUCUGAAACUACAAAAUCACA